UACAGAGGUGUCAAGCGUUGCUCGGUGUCACUGGGCUUAAAGGGCGCGUAGGCGGCUUGGUCAGUCCCGUGUGAAAUCCCUCGGCUCAACUGAGGAACUGCACGGGAAACUGCCUGGCUUGAGUUCGGGAGAGGGAAGCGGAAUUCCGGGUGUAGCGGUGAAAUGCGUAGAUAUCCGGAGGAACACCGGUGGCGAAGGCGGCUUCCUGGACCGACACUGACGCUGAGGCGCGAAAGCUAGGGGAGCAAACGGG
RNAcentral lists this ribosomal RNA (253 nucleotides) under uncultured bacterium. RNAcentral's name for it is "partial 16S ribosomal RNA". It matches the Rfam family "Bacterial small subunit ribosomal RNA", at positions 524 to 776 of the family's 1533-position model. The record is from RNAcentral.